RNAcentral lists this ribosomal RNA (545 nucleotides) under fungal endophyte sp. SX05. RNAcentral's name for it is "eukaryotic LSU rRNA". The stretch from base 191 to 344 matches the Rfam family "5.8S ribosomal RNA". Lineage: Eukaryota; Fungi. The record is from RNAcentral.
GUAACAAGGUCUCCGUUGGUGAACCAGCGGAGGGAUCAUUACCGAGUUUACAACUCCCAAACCCCUGUGAACAUACCUAUACGUUGCCUCGGCGGAUCAGCCCGCGCCCCGUAAAACGGGACGGCCCGCCCGAGGACCCCUAAACUCUGUUUUUAGUGGAACUUCUGAGUAAAACAAACAAAUAAAUCAAAACUUUCAACAACGGAUCUCUUGGUUCUGGCAUCGAUGAAGAACGCAGCAAAAUGCGAUAAGUAAUGUGAAUUGCAGAAUUCAGUGAAUCAUCGAAUCUUUGAACGCACAUUGCGCCCGCCAGUAUUCUGGCGGGCAUGCCUGUUCGAGCGUCAUUUCAACCCUCAAGCUCAGCUUGGUGUUGGGACUCGCGGUAACCCGCGUUCCCCAAAUCGAUUGGCGGUCACGUCGAGCUUCCAUAGCGUAGUAAUCAUACACCUCGUUACUGGUAAUCGUCGCGGCCACGCCGUUAAACCCCAACUUCUGAAUGUUGACCUCGGAUCAGGUAGGAAUACCCGCUGAACUUAAGCAUAUCA